Molecule: ribosomal RNA, 245 nt
Filed under: uncultured bacterium
Lineage: Bacteria
Description: partial 16S ribosomal RNA
Rfam family: Bacterial small subunit ribosomal RNA
Source: RNAcentral
UACAGAGGGUGCAAGCGUUAAUCGGAGUUACUGGGCGUAAAGGGCGCGUAGGCUGGUAUUUAAGUCGGUUGUGAAAUCCCUGGGCUUAACCUAGGAAUUGCAUUCGAUACUGGAUACCUUGAGUAUGGUAGAGGAAAGUGGAAUUCUCGGUGUAGUGGUGAAAUACGUAGAUAUCGAGAAGAACACCGGUGGCGAAGGCGGCUUUCUGGACCAAUACUGACGCUGAGGCGCGAGAGCAUGGGGAG